Molecule: long non-coding RNA, 15186 nt
Filed under: Lynx pardinus (Iberian lynx)
Lineage: Eukaryota; Metazoa; Chordata; Mammalia; Carnivora; Felidae
Source: RNAcentral
AGAAACUAAGACCCAGAGAAAGAAAACAUCUUGGCCGAGAACCCAGUCAUUGGCGAAACUGAUACUCAUAUCCAUUUACGUAGAAUACUGCCCCAGAGAAACAGGCAACAGCCAUCAGCAUUGAGACAAAGCCGUCCAUAAGCAAAAAGAUUACAACUCGUUGGAAGCUCAGAUGAUUAGUAUUUUUGAGCAGUAUUUUAAAAUUAAGGUAGGUGCAUUUUUCAGACACAAUGCUACUGUAUACUUAAUAGACUAUAGCAGGGUAAACGUCAUUUUUACAUGCACUAGGAAGACAGAAAGAUCUUCGGACUUGUCAUGGUCACUUUACUGCGGUGGUCUGGAACCAAACUCACAAUAUCUCUGAGGUAUGCUGUACAAAGAGCAUAAGUGACACGAUGGUGAAGCUAGCGGGGAGAACCACUGGUUCCUUUGUCCUGGAUAAUGACACCCAACAGUGCCGAUCUUUGGAGUACUUUUCCCUGUUGUUUCAUUCCACUGACUGAAUUUGAUUGUUUUGCCUCUAAGUCAUUUUGUCUGCGUGACCACAAUUACCACAAUAAAAAUAGCAAACAUUCAUCACCGAUAAAAGUUUCUACAUAUCCCAUGCUUCAGGUAAUCACCGAUCUGCCUUCUUUAACAAAAGUGAAUAGUUUAUGGCUUGUUUACAUUUUGUAGAAUUUUACAUAAAUGGAAUCAUAUAGUAUGCACUAUUUUUUAAAAUCUGGCUUCUUUCAUUCAUAAAUGUUUUCAGAAUCAUGUUCUCCCUUUUAAUUGCAGAAUAGUAACCCAUUGCAUAGUGUUAUGGGUAGAAUGGGUCUCCCCCCACCCCUCCCCAUGAAAGAUAUGUUGAAGUCCUGACCUCUAGUAUUUUAGAAUGCAGCUUUCUUUGGAAAUAGGAUCAGUACGGAGACAACCAAGUUAAAAUGAGGUUAUUAGGGUGGUCCCUCAUCCAAUGUGACUGGUUUCCUUAUAAAAUAAGAAACUUUGGACACAGAGAAAUGCACAGAGGAAAAAUGAUGUAAGCACACAGGGAGAACAUCAACUACAAGUCGAGAAAUUUCUGAGGCUGCCAGAGGCUAGGAGAGAGGGCCGGAACUGAUCUCUUUCCGAGCACGUAGAAGGACACCUUGGUUUCGGAUUUCUAGCCUCUAGAACUGUGAAAUAAUAAAUACCCGUUGUUCAGGCCACUUGUUAUGGCAGCCCUAAGAAACUAAUACAUCUGGAUAUACACUAAUACAUGUGGAUCUAGACUAACACACACGGAUAUACAAAAUGUGUCUGUUUGUCUCUACUAAUAGACAUUUGGGGUUGUUUCCAGUUUGGGGCUAUUAACAAAAGCCCAAAUGGCAGCUUUGUGUGGACAUGUGUUUUCAUUUCUCUUGGGUAAGUAUCUGAGAGAGGAAGGAUGGAUCCCAUAGUAAUUACGUGCUUAACUUUUCCAGGUAACUACCAAACUCAUUUCCAAAGCGACUGUACCAUUUAAAAAUCUGACCUAUGAAAGGCAGCCCAUGAGAGUUCUAUUUCCUCCACAUCCUUGCCAAUAUUUGGUUUGACCGGUCUGUUCAAUUUUAGCCAUGCUAUUAGGUGACUAGUGGUAUUUCACUGUGCUUUUAGUUUGCAUUUUCCUAAUAACUGAUAAUAUUGAGCAUCUUGUCAUAUGCUCACUUACUAUCUGUAAAUCUUCUUUGGUGGAGCAUCUAUUUGUUGUUUUUGCUUAUUUCGCUGGGUUGUACAUUUUCUUAUUACUGAGUUUUGAGUAUUUUUAUACGUUCUGGAUAUAAAUUUCUUUAUUAAUUUAUAAAUAUUUUCAAACUUAAAAAAAUUUUGACUUUAUGUUUUGCACAAUGUAAUAAAGUAUAUUAUAGUUCUGAUGUAAAACCUACAGUUAUAAAACUUCUAGAGGAAAACAAGGAGUGGACAUCUGUGACCUUGGGUUAGGCAAGAUUUCUUCAAUAUGACACCAAAAGCAUGAACCAUGAAUGAACAAAUUGAUAAAAUAGACCUUAUGAAAAUUAAAGAUGUCUGCUCUUUAAAAGACUGUUUAAACUGAUGGUUACUGAAGGAGAGAUGGAUGGGGAGAUGGGUUAAAUAGGUGACAGAGAUUAAGGAGGGCACUUGUGAUAAGCACUGGAUGUUGUAUGUAAGUGAUGAAUCAUGAAAUUCUACAAAUCAUGAAAUUCUAUGAAUCGUGAAAUUCUACACCUUUAACUAAUAUUAAACUGUAUGUUAAACAAAUGGAAAUUUCAUUUUUCAAAAAUGUUUAUUUAUUUAUUUUGAGAGAGACAGAGAGAGAGAGAGGUAGAGAGCAAGAAGGGGAGGGACAGAGAGAGAGGGAGAGAGAGAAUCCCAAGCAGGCCCUACACUGUCGAUGCAGGGCUCGAACCCACAAACCAUGAGAUCAUGACCUGAGCCGAAACCAAGAGUCAGAUGCUUAACCAACACAGAUGCCCAAGCUAAACAGAAUUUAAAUAAAAAUUCAGAGACAAAAAAAGAGACUGUUUAAGGAAUAAGAAGACAAACAACAAAAUGAAAUAAAAUAUUUCCAAAAUGCACAUCUUGUACAAGACUUUUAUCUAUAAUAUUCUUGAAACUCAAUAAGGAAAUAACGAACUCAAUAUUAAAAAUGGACAAAGUAUUUUUUCUUAGUCUGUAGCUUAUCUUUUUCAUUUUCUUGUUUUCUUCCAGAAGUUUAAUAGUUUUAGAUUUUACACUUAAAUCUAUGAUUUAUUUUGAGUUGAUUUUUAUAAAUGGUAUGAUGUAUAGAUUGAAGUUCUCUCUCUCUCUCUCUCUCUCUCUCUCUCUCCCAUAGGAUAUCCAAUUUACCACUCACCUGCCUUUGUACCUUGGUCAAAAAUCAGUUGUCUAUACUUGUUGAUAUGCUCAUAUAUAUUUAGAAUCUUCUUUUCUAUUGAUUUAUCUUCAUGCCAAUUCCAAACUGUCUUGAUUACUUCUGUUUUAUAAUAUCCUCGAAAUAAGGAAGAGUUUGGGGCACCUAGGUGGCUCAGUCAAUUAAGUGGUUAGGUGUCUGACUCUUGAUUUUGGUUUGGAUAGUUACUAUUGCUGUCUUCAGGUUCAUUAAUCUUUAUUUCUAAUAAUAUCUAAUCUGCUGUUAAUACCAUCCAAUGUAGUUUUCAUCUUAGACAUUGUAGUUUUCAUCUCUAGAAAUUUGAUUUGGAUUUAAAAAAUAUCUUAUGUCUCUACUUAAAUUUCUGAACAUGUAUGAUAUGGUUAUAAUAACUUUUAAUGUCUCUGCUCACUCUAACAUCUAUAUCAAUUCUGGAUUGAUUUUUACUCUCAUUAUUGGUUAUAUUUUUCUGCUUCUUUGCAUGGCUGGUGACUUUUAAACUGGAUUCCAGGUAUUGUGAAUUUUACCUUGUUAGGUGCCGGACAUUUUUGUUUUCCUAUAAAUAUUCUUAAUCGUUUUUCCUGGGAUGCAAUUAAGAAACAGGUUGGCCUUUUUGUGUCUUGCUUUUAAGAUUUGUUUAGGUAGAAUAAGAGCAGCAUUUAACCUAAGGCUAAUUAUUGCUCACUACUGAAAUAAGAUACUUCUGAGUAUUUUACUAGAUGUUUCAUGGGAUAUGAGGUUUCCCAUUCUGGCUGGUGAAAAGAGGUCAUAUUUCUGGUCCUGUGUGAACUCCAAAGACUGUUUCCUCUGAUCCUUCUGGGGCGGUUAUUUGCUAACAUCAAGCAUUUUCGUCACACAUAUGCACUGAGCAGUACUCUUGAGAAUACUCAAAGGGGGUCCCCUGCAGAUCUCUCCCAUCUCUGUUAUUUGUACUGCAAAUGCUAGCCAAUAUGGUCUCCAUGGAUGCUCAGCUUAAUCUACUCAACUCAGGGAAACUCAGGGUGCUUUGGUUUCCACCCCCUGCAUCAUGGUCUAAGAACUCUCUUAUAGAAUUAAAAGGGGCAAUUUUAGAGCUCCCCUCAUUUGUUUCCCGUCCCUUACAGAUUGCUGUCCUCAAUGGCCUGAUAUCCAGUGUCUUGAAAACCCCUGUUGCAUAUAUUUUGCCCUUUUAGUGGUGGGUUUGUUUCCAAGAGAUGGUGAAACUAGUUUCUUACUUCAACUUGGCUAGAACUGGAAGUCUUACAUCCCAGAUGUAAAAGGACUUCAAAAGGACUCAGAGUUUUAUAAGAUUAUAUUCAAAAUGUCUAGGAUACAAUUUAAACACAUUUGAUAUGCAAAAAAGAGAAAAUCUCAAUAACUCAUAAGGAAAAAAACACUCAACAGCUGCCCACCCUGUAGUGAUGUGAAUCCUGGUGUUCUAAAUCCUCUAACAAACUUCAAAGCAACUAUAAUAACUAUGUUUCAUGAAAUAAGGUUGAACAAUCUUGAAACAAAUGGAAAGAUAAUAGUUCUCAGCAGGGAAAGAGAAGCUGUAAAAAAUAAAAUGGACAUUUUAGAACUAAAAAAAGUAAAGUAAUUAUGACACAGAAAAGAAUGUGUAAACUUGAAUAGAGCAAUAGAAAACAUCCAAUUUGAAUACCAGAGAAAAAUUUAUUGGAAAAAAAGCUAACAGAGUCUCAGGGACCUGUGGAAUAGUAUAAAAAGAUACAAAAUUCAUGCCAGUUGAAACCUAUGAAAGGAGAAGAUGAUGCAGAAUAAAUAUUUGAAGAAAUAAUGGCUGAAAACUUCCAAAAUUUUGGAAAUUUUGGAAUUUCCAAAACUUUGGAUUUUUCAUGAGAAACAAUAAAGGACAGAAUAAAGGGACACAACACUUUAAAAGUAGUAGAAGAAAUGAACUGUCAACCCAGGAUUCUCUAUCCAAUAAGAGUACCUUUGAAGAAUGAAGGAAUAAUAACAACAGUCUGAGUUGAAAGAAAACGAAGAGAAUUUUAGUCAAAAGCAUUUCUUCUCUAAAACAAAUGUUAAAGGAAGAACUUCAGGAAAAAAGGAAAUUGUACCAUAGGGAAACUUGGAACUUUAGGCAUGAAGGAAAAGCAACAUAACUGGUAAACGACUAGGUACAUAUGACAGAUUAUUUUCUCCUCUACAUAUGGAAUACGUAUGUACAUGUAUUCUCUGGAAUACAUAUGAUGAUACAAAGCCAAAAUUAUACUAUUGCCUGGGUAGGUUUUACUGUAUGUAGAUGUAAUACAUAUGACAACUACAAAUACAACAUAAAAGGGGGAGGAUACAUUUUCUACAUUUAACCCAAAGAGGUAAAAUAUUAAUUUUAGUCAACUAUAAAAAGGGACAUAUGUAUGUAGCAAUGACUAGACCGACCACACAAAGGGAUAAAGACAAAAAGAGAGUAGAUAAAUUAAGAUGGAAUAUAAAGUUAAAUAUUUCAAACAUUUUCACAAAAGGGGAAAAGAGGAAUACAAAAUAGAGGGGGAAAAACAAAAUAAUGGCAGACUAAAACACCAACUUAUCAAUAAUUACAUUAAAUAUAAAUGGUCUAAGCACACAAAAGACAGCAAUCAUUAAGUUGGACAAAAAACUAAGACUCAAAUAUGUGUUGUUGGGAAACCAACCCACUGAAAACAUCUUGAUAUAGAUAGGUUAAAAGUGAAAAGAAAAAUAUGUAAUGUGCAAACACUUAAAAGAAAGCUGGAUUGUCUCUAUUAAUGUUAAAUAAAGUAGACUUUAGAACAAGGAAAAUUACCAAGAGGCAUCGUUAUGUAAUAAGAGGGUCAAUUCACUAAGAAGACAUACAAUCUUUUAUAUGUAUGCACACACAGAAAACCAAAACAAAACCCAAAAAAUGGUAUUAAAAUACAAUUGGAAGAACUGCAAGGAGAAAUAAACAAACCCACAAUUAUAGUUGGAGGCUUUCAGUUUUGUCUUUCAGUAACAGGACAAGUAGACAAAAACAUUACCAAGACCAUAGAAGACCUGAACAACACCAUCCCACCAAAGAAUAGCAGAAUAUACAUUUUUUUUCAAGUGCACAGGAAAUGCUUAUCAAGACAGAACAUAUACUGGGUCAUAAAAACAACAUAAAUCCGUAAAAUUGAAAACAGAAAAGAAAUAAAUACCAGAAAUUGACUUUUUCAAAUGUUCAAUAAGAAUGGUAAAACUUUGUACAGAUUAACCAGAGAAGGAGAGAGAGAGAGAGAGAGAGGGAAAGAGAGAGGGAGAGAGAGGGAGAGAGAAAAAAUUAUAAAUAUCAGGAGGGGAAAAGAUGGUAUCAUUACAGACCCAACAUAUGUUAAAAGUGUACUAAGGGAAUAUUAUAAAGAACUCUACCAUAAGAGACUCUUAAAUAUAGAGAAAAAACUGAGGGUUUGAUGGGGGGGGUGGGAGAGAGGGGAAAGUAGGUGAUGGGCAUUGAGGAGGGCACUUGCUGGGAUGAGCACUGGGUAUUGUAUGGAAACCUAUUUGACAAUAAUAUUAAAAAAAAAAGAACUCUAUGCACAUACAUUUAACAACUUCAAUGAAAUAGAAAUUCCUCUGAAUACACAAACUACCAAAACUCACCGAAGAAGAAAUAAUGUGAAUAGUUCUAUGGUUUUUUUUAAUGUUUAUUUAUUUUUGAGACAGAGAGAGACAGAGCAUGAACGGGGGAGUGCCAGAGAGAGAGGGAGACACAGAAUCCAAAGCAGGCUCCAGGCUCUGAGCUGCCAGCACAGAGCCUGACGCGGGGCUCGAACUCACGGACCGUGAGACCAUGACCUGAGCCGAAGUCGGACGCUUAACCGACUGAGCCACCCAGGAGCCCCAGUUCUAUGUUUUUUAAGGAAAUUGAAUUCAUAGUUAGGUAGCACAGAUCAGUAUGGACAAGAGAAAAAUAAUCAAGACUAACUGAUGUAGGCUCCUUAACUUCCCUCUGCUGAGGAAUGAAUAUACUGGUCUCUCAAAUCUAAGAUUUUGGUUGUUAACUUAUUUGAUGAAGGGUGUUGAGUAGUGAGUUGAGAACGACAGGUUUUGAGCAAAUGUCUUGAAAUAGGAGAGUGAUAUGAUAAACGGUUCCUAAGGUCUUAAUCUCCUUAAAGUAAGGAGUUUUUGGCAAAUUGUUUUUGAAUUGGUAUCUACUUAGAAUAGAUAGCCUCUAAAAACAGGGAUAAUGACCAGGGGGACGUGACAGAAAUGUGGUGGUAAAGAUUUGAUCUAGGCAGGCAGUUUUCAACAAUGAAUGUAAGGGAUAAAUCUAAGAACUGGUAUAGUUUAUAUACAACCACAUGUUUGUUUUAAUUUUUCUCUAAGUAAGGUAUUUUUCUAUAUAAGAUAACACAUAGCUAUGCUUUUUGGGUAAAAGGCAAUACAUAUUAACUAAGCACUUCUAAAGCAUCUGGAAAAAGCUGCCUAAUUCAAUACCCUUUCCCUCAUCUGUUCUAGACAGUUAAACAUGUUUUGGACUAGCCGAAUUUCCACAAUACUUUUUUUUUUUGACAUUAAAAUGGCUGAAUUCUCCAGGCAGAAAAUGAAAACCCUAAAAUAGAGACAGAAUAACAAGUAUUACUUCUGUUAAAACAAAUACAGAAUUUAAAUACACAAUUGAACUACUUCUGUUUAUGUGUUUUAACAUUUAAAUCUUAUCCUAUACAAUAAUUGAAACUGCCCAAAGAAAAAUAACCAAUUUGAGGCUGAAUAAAACGAGGCUGGUGGUCUCGGGAACAAGCAUAUUAGUCAAGUAGUGUUGGCAAAAUCCAUUUUUGCGUGUAAUUUUGAGAAUAAGCCUUUAGGUCAGCGUUGAGUUUGUGCGUGUGCCGAGAGCUAAAACAAUGUGGCCAAUGAGAACGGCUCUUGUGUGAUGUUUUCAGUUUCUAACUUUAUCCCCAUCUGUUUGAACAUUCCUGCAGUGGUGCCCAGAACAGCUUGUUGAUAACAAUGAGGCAGUUUCAAGGGGCACAUUUUUCUAGAGACCAAAUGAUCUUCAAAACACUCAAGAGAAAAUCAAGGUGGUCUUCUAAGCUCUUGGUAUUCUAAGUUUUGUUCGUGGAUCAGAAGUACUGACAUAUCCAGAAGCUAUGCUGGAAAUACAGUAUCUCAGCCCCAACACCCCGCCCCCCGCCCCCCCGCCACCACUAUGAUCUAUUGAAUCAGAAUGUCCUGUCAUUUCAUCAAGACUCCCAGGUGAUAUUACAACUCGAGACAAUGUGUUUUAAGCUCUUGGAACAGGUUUUGCUGGGAGAUGAAAGGUUUACAUAUUUUAAGAGACAAGUGCUGAUUCUUUAGGUGAGGGUUUUGGCACGGCAGCUAUGUGACUGAACAGCAUGCAGGGACAAUACAGAAAAGGGAAAGGCCUCUCCUGGCAAUGACGCUCAGAAAACUAACCUCCUAUGGCACAGCAGAGUUCCUGGAGGUCCUCAGAACGCUUAUCAAGUUCUAACGCAAGAGUUUCGGUAUCAGGCAAGUGGUAUUAAUGCUUUCCUCAUGUUUAGACAAAUCCACCUGUUUUUAUAAGUAUGAAUUUAUGAAUUAAUAAGCAUGUACAAGAGGUCAAUCUUCCAGCACUUUCUCAGACCAAGAGAAAAUAAUUAUCUGUAAACAGUCUGAUUUUGUAAUCACACAAAAAACAUCUCCUUCCUGCAGCAGGGACACAGGGUGGGAAGGUCCAGUUUGUAAUUCACAACCUGGAGAGGGGCUGAGUGCUAUACUAGGGUCCAAAUUCGGUCUUUCUCCAAUUUCCAAAGCACAAUCCUGGCCCGAACCUCUGGACACACAGAGAACUCUGCCAGUAACAGUCUGUGCAGGAUGAGGAAAUCCUUCCUUUGUCAGUCUCUGGCAGUCAGGACCCCUCUGCUUCAUUUCAAGAUUAAUUUUCUGGCUAAAUCUUUGUACUCCUCGUUCUCAGAGAUCUUUAUGAGGAGAACAGGCAGAUCUGGAUGGCCUAGAUGAGCUUGACCAAGUGAUUUCACACAUGGAUGGAGCACAGAGCUAGGCUUGGGUGGGGUGGAACUUUCUCCUUUGUUUCUCCCUUUGGAUGUCUGUGUCCCCUCCUUCAACAGCUCCUUUUACGACCUUUCGUUGGCUCAUUAAUGGGAUUCCAUUUAGAAAUGAAAAUAUAAGCGAUAUCUAAAUGUCCAAUAAUAAGGGUGUUUUAACCAUCUGCUUUUAUUGAUUUGAUCGUUCACCCUGUCAUUUUGGGACUCUCUUAUGGUGCUGUGCUUGGAUAUUUAAAAUGUUCUUCACUGAAUCAUUCUCAAAGCUUCUGGAAAGUCCAACAAUGAGUUACCACAUGGAACCUUCACAGAAUCCCCAGAAUGCAAUGUCCUGAUACUAGGAACAGUAAAGAACAGGGAGAGGGAUACUGUCUCGGAAGCCAGACACGUGGGUGUUGGCACCUUAGCUCUGUCACACCUAGCUGUGCCACCUUGGGUAAGUUUCUUAAGCCUCAGUGAGCCUCCAUUCCUCACUGUAAUAGGGGAAAAAUACUACCUAUUGCGGAGAUUCUGUGAGGAUUCAGAGAGAGAAGUGUAGAUCUCUUAGCGAGAAACACAGGCACUUAGUAAAGAAUCAAGAGGAUUAUGCUCCCUUUUCCUUUGUAUUGUGAAUAUUUUAGUGUGGUUUCCCUAGAGUAUGGAGCCUGAGUCAAAACUUAAGUGCCAAAGUUUUGCUGAGGGGGUGCGAUACAGGGAAGCAAGAGUGAAGGAACCAGGUAAGUGAGGUAGGGGAUGGGAGAAAGCAAGGGCAAAGGAGUGCAUUCCAAGCUGUCAGAUUACCUGGAAACUUAACUGGUUGCUCAGACAACUCCAGAGAGGGGAAAAUGGAACCACUAGAUCCCGGAACAGUCUCUUAGGGAGGAGAGAGGAAGAAGAAUCUGUUGCUGCUAUCUCCUCUUGCUCACUGAACAAAGUCUCCCCCUCUCUCUACCACUGGGGUGGAACUCUCUAACAUUUCUGGGUUAUUUUUUCCACAAGAGCAGUGGCAUUUAGCUAGUGAAAGGGCACGAGCCAGCAAUAUUUUAUGCCUGCCUUUCUGCACACUGCCUUCUGAAAGACCCAUCCUGGAAAGCCGGUGGGAUGGGGUGGGGGGAGCUUAGGAAGCUUCUGGCAUCUGUACUUCAGCAGUGACGGCAAAGCACAAGGGCAAGAAAAGAGAGCCCCGUAGUGUCAGGUCAGAGGUAUGAGAUGAGGCGGGUUUGGUCCUGUUUCUAGCAACAUGGGAAACCCAAAGCAGCUGCUUGCUGAAGCAGGGCCAAGUGCUGGGGAGCCUGGUGCAAUGAGAAGUCAGCCUCCAUCAGGAGGGCAAGGACAGAGGUCGGGCAGCUUCUCUUCAGUAGAUUCACAUCACCUCUCCGCCCUGACAAGAGUGCCAUUGGCGCCAAGCGAUCUUCCUGGAGGGUCAUCUGUUUCCCCAAGCAGGCGACAUAGCCAAGCAAAUCUGAGAGGUGCAUAAAUCGGGUCUGGUAUUACGAGAACAGGAUACGGCCUUUCAACAGCGUAUGAACGCAAAGGGAAUGCAACAGUGGCUCACUGCACAGAUCUGACCCGGCUUAAGUUUAUUUUUAGGGCCCCUCUGGUUAAAGCUCAGGAGCAGGGUUGGGUUUAGAGGCCUUGAUUUGCAGAGUUAGCUUGUCACCUGACUUCAGAGUCCACGCUCAAUCACGUAACUGUGCCUACUGCCCCGGCACAGCUGUGCACCAACACUGGGGCACUAUCAUCGGCCAGCAUGCGCAGAGAUGAGGCCUCAUGUCUCAGUGCACCUGCAGUGACAGAACCAGAGGCCGCAGAAGACACUGGAAACCCAAGAAAAAAGAAAAGGCUUUAGCAACAGAGAACCAAGAGAGAAAUCAAGAAAUUGAGGAACAUACUUGUGAUGAGCCGUGGGUGAUGUAUAGAAUUGUCGAGUCACUGUAUGGUUCACCUGCGGCUAAUAUAACACUGUAUGUUAACUAUACUGGAAUUAAAAUAAAAUUAAAAAUUAAAUACAUUAAAAAAAUUGUUACAUAAAAAAAUGAAGGAAAACGAAAGUUGCAGGUUGAAGGGAGUGACCAUCAGUUUCAGGGGAUGCCAAGAAACCAGCCCAGUAGAACAGGAAUAAGAAACAACAUAAUGGAGACCAGAGCAAUUUCUGUGGCAUGAUGGGGGCUGGGAAUAUUGCUAAGGACUGAGCACCGUGCAACGGAAGUGAGGAAACAGCUGGUAUUUUUUUUUUUCCGAAAGUAUUUUUUACUUAACGAUUGUCAGAGAAGCAAACGAAGGAAAGUUAUGGUAGCUCGAGGAGAAGCAGGGUUGAUGCGAGGUAUGUAUAUAUUUUAAAUACCAUUUAUUUAUUCAUUUAUUUCACCCAUCCUGAUAUCAUUGGGUUGUUCCCAGUUGUUGACAAUUAGGAAUAGUGCUGCUAUAAAUAUUUUUGUAAAUGUCUUUGGGAACAUGCGCGUGCCUGUUUCGGCUGAACGUAUCUGUAGGCAUAGUGAUAACGCAUUUCUACAUUCAUUGGUAGCACAGUUUAUUGAUAUUUCAGUCAGAUCAUGUUAAUCAAACCAUCUGAAAUCUCACUGUGUAUGUGUGUCUGCUUGCUCUAAAAAUUACUGGUAGUGGUAUGUCAAAACCCACAGUACAUUAUUGAUACGUGUUUCCUCUUUUGCUAAUUUUUGUUGUCUACAUUUAGAAGAAUAUGCAAAUUUAGAAUAGUCUCUUUAAGCAUAUACAGAUUUAGACUACUUUAUAUCUUCUUGGUAAAUUGAACUUUUUCUCUCUAUAAAACUUCCUUUUCUUAUUUCUUGUAAUACUUCUCAUCUCAAAGUUUUCUUUGAUAUAUUUUGCUUAGGGUUUGGAAGGAAUCUAUUUUUUCUAUCUUUUUAUUAAUAAUAUCUUACAAGAUUUUUUUUGUUUAUUUAUUUUUGAAAGAGAGAGCGAUAGAGUGACAGAGUGUAAGUUGGGGAGAGGGGCAGAGAGAGAGGGAGACACAGAAUCUGAAGCAGGCUCCGAGCUGUCAACACAAAGCCUGAUGCAGGACUUGAACUCGCAAACCGUGAGAUCAUCACCUGAGCUGAAGUCAGACGCUUAACCAACCGAGCCACCCAGGCGCCCCUAUGUUACAGUAUCUUUAUAUUCUUAUAUGUAAGAUGUGUUUAUUAUAAUCAGAAUAUAGUUGUUUUUUUUUUUUUUGAUCCCAACUCCUUGGAUCAAAUUUUCCCAUUUGUAAAGUAUUUGCAUCUGUUUAUGCUUAUUACAAUGAUCUAGAUGCAAGGUAUUUUUUAAGGUGGUGGCAGCAUUUGUUCUACUUGCAGGCAGAGGGGAAAUAAAAAACUAAAAAGGUUGAAAAUAUAAGAGAGGGAGAAGAAAAUGAUGACUGAUGGGUUGUGUUCUAGAGUGGAUGGAUGGCAAUGAUAUUUGGAGUCGAGAACAUAAGACAAGGGGUGGUCUUAUAGAGGAAGCCGGGGAGGAUUGGUACAGAUCUAUGUUUGGGGGUGGUAUAAAAAGAUGUUUAGGAAGAUUGUCUUUGUUGGCCUCUAUUUUUCUCCCAAGGUGGGAACAAGGUCUGCUAAAAUAUCUGCAAACAGAGCUAAGAGGUUUGGGGACAUGGAAAGGUUCUGCCAGUGCCACUAUGGUCUAUGGAAACGAGAGGGUGACAGUGAGAGAGAGAGGUGUUUGGGAAGUGAGGAACAGUCCUCUGGGCAACCAUAAAAUCCCGCCCCAACUAGCUGUCUACUUGAUUUUCCAGGGAGUCCCCAAGUCCUACGUCCUUCUGGGUCCACAUUGUCGCAGCUCUGAGGGAUCGCUUUCCCAGAUAGUGCUAAUGCUGUCGUUCCAGUUGGAAUAAAACCCUGGAAGGAGUUUAUGUGGAAUGGCAGAAAGAAGGACUUUUUCAUUCAUCCCCCUGAUUUCUGUCUUAUGUGUAAUUCGAUUUGAUCUGCCUUUUUUUUUCACACAAGCUGGUACCUCUGUAUGCCCUAUAGUAUAAUCUUCCUUCUAUGUAGACUGUGGCUCACUUAAUAGGUCACAUGCAUGUGUACACAGCAUGGUGAGAUGGCCAGGGAGCCAAUGAUGCUGGAAAGCUUGUGAUUCACUCAUACUGACCUCUUCUUGGCUUUACGUUUUACUGGCUUUUGCUUUCUCGACUCCUGAAUCCUUAGCAUAAAAUUCUCGCUGCUUAACGUGGAUGGAACUGGAGAGUGUAAUGCUAAGUGAAAUAAGCCAUACAGAGAAAGACAGAUAUCACAUGGUUUCACUCUUAUGUGGAUCCUGAGAAACUUAACAGGAACCCAUGGGGGAGGGGAAGAAAAAAAAAAAAGAGGUUAGAGUGGGAGAGAGCCAAAGCAUAAGAGACUGUUAAAAACUGAGAACAAACUGAGGGUUGAUGGGGGGUGGGAGGGAGGGGAGGGUGGGUGAUGGGUAUUGAGGAGGGCACCUUUUGGGAUGAGCACUGGGUGUUGUAUGGAAACCAAUUUUUCAAUAAAUUUCAUAUAUAAAAAAAAAAAAAGUUAAAAUCAUAGACCUAAAACCAAUGGGGAAAAAAAAAAAAUUCUCGCUGCUUGGUGAGACAGCAGGACCCGGUGGUUAAGUCCAGAGGCUCUGAAAUUACAUUCCCUAGUUUCAAAAUAUGACUCCAUCCUUUACAAACUGUGUUAUCCUGAGCAAGUUCUUGACCCUCUUGAACUUGUUUCUUUAUCUGUAAAAUGAGGAUAAAAGGGUAUCAUCCUCACAGAUUUUUCAUGAGGACAAAAAUGGUAUACGUGUCGUGAUGAUAGGUUUAAGCUGUCACCUUGGUUACGCCAUAAUUGAAUACACAGCUAUUCAAUUAAAUACUACAUCUAAGGGUUGCUGUGAAGGUAUUUCAUAGAUGUGGUCAACAUCUGCAAUCCAAUGACAUCAAGUAAAGGAGAUUAUCCUCUACAACCUGAAUUGGUGGCAUCCAAUCGGUUGAAAAGCCUUAAGAGAAACACUGAGAUUUCCUGAGAAGAAAGAAAUUCUGCUUCAAGAUGGCUGCAUCAGCUCCCGCCUGAGAGUCUCUGGCCUGCUGGCCUGCCACAGAGACUUUGAAUUUGCCAGCCUCACCACUGUGUAAGGCAAUUCCUUAAAGUAGAUCUCAAUUGUAUACAUAUCCCACUGGUUCCGUCGCUCUGGACAACCCUAAUGCAUUUGUGCAAAGCAGUUAGCACGGUGCCUUGUUCAUCACAGUCCCCACAAAGCAUAGACCUAUCAUUAUGAUUUUCUGCAUAUAUGUUUAAUAUAGGGAAUGCUUUCUAGAAACAUGGGCUGCUGGGGGUCAUCCCUAUGAAAAGGCGAUCCUGACAGUUACUCAUUCUUGUCAUACUUCCUGAAGUUGUGACAUGUCUCUGUUCCAUUUUUCCAGCGCAACGACGUGAUGAGCUCCAUAACGUCUUAGGUCUUGCAUGGCCCUCUACGUGGCAGCUGAUUUUCACUCUUGCUUCUCUGACAUUCUCCUGGGAAGGCCACUAGCCACUCAGCCUGCACUUCACAUCACCCUGAAGCUGUUCCAUGAGGCUUUGCAGCAGCCGAGGCACUGUCACCUGCGUACCCUGUUUAGUUUUGUCAGAGUUGAACCACAAGAAUAUACAAUAAUGGGAGAGAGACCAAAGAGUUAAACCUUAUUCAGACUGAGCAAAGCGCCUUCUGGGAAGCUGGUUCACUGGCUAAGAAUACUCUAUGUCCUAUACAUGAUACUCUAUGUACUUGUACUCAUUGUACAUAAGGAAACAGGUUUUUUGUAGGUCAAAAAGGUUGAAUGUUGGCAAUUGCAUAUGUUUCACCGUAUAAUUAUACUCUGACUUGCUAUAAUGGAUUUAUAGAGUCUCUAUUUUUAAUAAAAAUAUUUCUGUGCUAUAUAGGGCAGUGCUCAACAACAUAUGUGUAUAAUUCAUGUUGCUAUUCUUAGACUUUUAGUUGUAGCAAAAGAUCCAGAUCUUGGCCUUAAUACUUUCCUGGGGUUGGUGUUGGUUUCUUGGAGAAAUGGGGAGAUGGGCUAAGCAUGGAGGCUGGGUGUGCUCUCUCAUUAUUGACAUCACAACAGGCAGUUUGCAGCUUAAGUCUCCAGCCCAGAGUGUCCUGAGCCAUUUGUUUGCUCUAGCUGACCCAGAUAUUACAGUGGGGAUAGAUGAGUAUUAGGUGUCAUAUUAUGAGCUCUUCUCCGCCAGUAAGCUAUUUUCACUAUAUUGGGGGUUUUCAGUACAGACAGCACCAAAGAUGGGGGCAAAAUGCUAAGUAAUGCUAUGUAUACACACAUGGGGUUUUGGAAAGGAGAAAGAUGCUGAAUGUUACUUAAUUAAAAGAUGAAAAAAAUCCUGUCUCAUACUUCACAUCAUCUACAUAAAUAAGCAAAGCGCCAUGUACUUC